RNAcentral lists this ribosomal RNA (253 nucleotides) under uncultured bacterium. RNAcentral's name for it is "partial 16S ribosomal RNA". It matches the Rfam family "Bacterial small subunit ribosomal RNA", at positions 524 to 776 of the family's 1533-position model. The record is from RNAcentral.
UACGUAGGGGGCGAGCGUUGUUCGGAUUUACUGGGCGUAAAGCGCACGUAGGCGGAUCGAUCAGUCAGGGGUGAAAUCCCAGAGCUCAACUCUGGAACUGCCUUUGAUACUGUCGAUCUGGAGUAUGGAAGAGGUGAGUGGAAUUCCGAGUGUAGAGGUGAAAUUCGUAGAUAUUCGGAGGAACACCAGUGGCGAAGGCGGCUCACUGGUCCAUUACUGACGCUGAGGUGCGAAAGCGUGGGGAGCAAACAGG